RNAcentral lists this ribosomal RNA (167 nucleotides) under uncultured rumen bacterium. RNAcentral's name for it is "partial 16S ribosomal RNA". It matches the Rfam family "Bacterial small subunit ribosomal RNA", at positions 340 to 524 of the family's 1533-position model. The record is from RNAcentral.
UACGGGAGGCAGCAGUGGGGAAUAUUGCACAAUGGGCGAAAGCCUGAUGCAGCGACGCCGCGUGAGUGAAGAAGUAUUUCGGUAUGUAAAGCUCUAUCAGCAGGGAAGAUAAUGACGGUACCUGACUAAGAAGCACCGGCUAAAUACGUGCCAGCAGCCGCGGUAAU